This 459-nucleotide ribosomal RNA is filed under the name uncultured bacterium. Its description in RNAcentral is "partial 16S ribosomal RNA". It matches the Rfam family "Bacterial small subunit ribosomal RNA", at positions 338 to 795 of the family's 1533-position model. The record is from RNAcentral.
CCUACGGGUGGCCGCAGUGAGGAAUAUUGGUCAAUGGCCGGAAGGCUGAACCAGCCAUGCCGCGUGAGGGUCAGUGCCCUAUGGGCGUUAAACUUCUUUUGUGCGGGAGCAAUAAUGGUCACGUGUGGCCAGACGAGAGUACCGUACGAAUAAGCAUCAGCUAACUCCGUGCCAGCAGCCGCGGUAAUCCGGGGGAUGCAAGCGUUAUCCGGAUUUAUUGGGUUUAAAGGGAGCGUAGGUGGGUUGUUAAGUCAGUGGUGAAAGUCUGCGGCUCAACCGUCAAAAUGCAAUUGAUACUGGCAGCCUUGAGUACAGUUGAGGUAGGCGGAAUUCGUGGUGUAGCGGUGAAAUGCUUAGAUAUCACGAAGAACUCCGAUUGCGAAGGCAGCUUACUGAACUGCCACUGACGUUGAGGCUCGAAAGUGUGGGUAUCGAACAGGAUUAGAUACCCUUGUAGUC